This 468-nucleotide ribosomal RNA is filed under the name uncultured bacterium. Its description in RNAcentral is "partial 16S ribosomal RNA". It matches the Rfam family "Bacterial small subunit ribosomal RNA", at positions 28 to 507 of the family's 1533-position model. The record is from RNAcentral.
GACGAACGCUGGCGGCGUGCUUAACACAUGCAAGUCGAACGGAAAGGCCCUGCUUUUGUGGGGUGCUCGAGUGGCGAACGGGUGAGUAACACGUGAGUAACCUGCCCUUGACUUUGUGAUAACUUCAGGAAACUGGGGCUAAUACCGGAUAGGAGCUCCUGCUGCAUGGUGGGGGUUGGAAAGUUUCGGCGGUUGGGGAUGGACUCGCGGCUUAUCAGCUUGUUGGUGGGGUAGUGGCUUACCAAGGCUUUGACGGGUAGCCGGCCUGAGAGGGUGACCGGCCACAUUGGGACUGAGAUACGGCCCAGACUCCUACGGGAGGCAGCAGUGGGGAAUAUUGCACAAUGGGCGGAAGCCUGAUGCAGCAACGCCGCGUGCGGGAUGACGGCCUUCGGGGUGUAAACCGCUUUCGCCUGUGACGAAGCGUGAGUGACGGUAAUGGGUAAAGAAGCACCGGCUAACUACGUG